UGGAGCUCACAUGCCCGAUCUUGAAGCGCAAUUACGCAGCAGGUGUAAAGGCAGCACAGCCUGCCCCAGGCACCGCGGGCUGGCAAACCUUGCCACGGGGAGAAGAGCAUCAGGUAACAACAAAUUAUCACAUGUCACCUUCACCUGCCCCACCAGGAGGAAGGGACAGUGAGCUGGGAAUGCUGGGGAUCUUUGGGAUAAGUUUGAUCCCUGUGAACACCACCACAGAUUGGUUGUCCUGAACUCAUGGGAGAUGUAGCAGAAAUUUAGGAUGGUCAAAAGCCACAAGAACUGACAAAAUUCUUCAGCUGAAACAUCUGAGGAACGACAUCUCAUCAAAGAUGGACGUUUCCAUGGAAAUAUGUUUCGGAUGAAAUUUUUUUGAGUCUUUCACAGAUAAAAUAUAAAUAACUGGUUGGACAAGUUUUCAAUAAAUCAAAAUAGAAACUUUUUGCUGGAGAAACUGAAA
Molecule: long non-coding RNA, 469 nt
Organism: Melospiza melodia melodia
Lineage: Eukaryota; Metazoa; Chordata; Aves; Passeriformes; Passerellidae
Exons: 3
Source: RefSeq, a predicted model, not a curated record